Molecule: ribosomal RNA, 743 nt
Filed under: uncultured bacterium
Lineage: Bacteria
Description: bacterial SSU rRNA
Rfam family: Bacterial small subunit ribosomal RNA
Source: RNAcentral
AGAGUUUGAUCCUGGCUCAGAACGAACGCUGGCGGCAGGCUUAACACAUGCAAGUCGAACGCGUGUAGCAAUACACGAGUGGCGCACGGGUGAGUAACACGUGGAUAUCUGCCUUUUGGUUCGGGAUAACCCUGGGAAACUAGGGCUAAUACCGAAUGGUUCCUACGGGAUAAAGAUUUAUCGCCAAAAGAUGAGUCCGCGUCCGAUUAGCUAGUUGGUGAGGUAAUGGCUCACCAAGGCGACGAUCGGUAGCUGGUCUGAGAGGACGAUCAGCCACACUGGGACUGAGACACGGCCCAGACUCCUACGGGAGGCAGCAGUGGGGAAUAUUGGACAAUGGGGGCAACCCUGAUCCAGCCAUGCCGCGUGAGUGAUGAAGGCCUUCGGGUUGUAAAGCUCUUUUGGCGGGGACGAUGAUGACGGUACCCGCAGAAUAAGCCCCGGCUAACUUCGUGCCAGCAGCCGCGGUAAGACGAAGGGGGCUAGCGUUGUUCGGAAUUACUGGGCGUAAAGCGCGUGUAGGCGGUUGUCCAAGUUGGAUGUGAAAGCCUUGAGCUCAACUCAAGAAAUGCAUUCAGGACUGGAUGACUAGAGGACCGGAGAGGAUAGUGGAAUUCCCAGUGUAGUGGUGAAAUACGUAGAGAUUGGGAAGAACACCAGUGGCGAAGGCGGCUAUCUGGACGGUUUCUGACGCUAAGACGCGAAAGCGUGGGGAGAAACAGGAUUAGAUACCCUAGUAGUCC